UGCGUAGGCGGUUGGGCAAGUCUGGUGUGAAAUCUCCCGGCUUAACUGGGAGGGUGCGCCGGAAACUGCUUGACUAGAGUGUGGGAGAGGAAAGUGGAAUUCCUGGUGUAGCGGUGAAAUGCGUAGAUAUCAGGAGGAACACCUGCGGUGUAGACGGCUUUCUGGACCACUACUGACGCUGAGGCACGAAAGCGUGGGGAGCAAACAGGAUUAGAUACCCUGGUAGUCCACGCCCUAAACGAUGCGGACUUGGUGUGCGCCCUUCAUUGGGUGCGUGCCGGAGCUAACGCGUUAAGUCCGCCGCCUGGGGAGUACGGUCGCAAGGCUGAA
Molecule: ribosomal RNA, 330 nt
Filed under: uncultured bacterium
Lineage: Bacteria
Description: bacterial SSU rRNA
Rfam family: Bacterial small subunit ribosomal RNA
Source: RNAcentral